AGUGAACGCUGGCGGCAGGCCUAAUACAUGCAAGUCGAACGGCAGCACAGCAGAGCUUGCUCUGUGGGUGGCGAGUGGCGGACGGGUGAGGAAUACAUGGGAAUCUGCCCAGUCGUGGGGGAUAACGUAUGGAAACGUACGCUAAUACCGCAUGCGCCCUUUGGGGGAAAGCCGGGGACCUUCGGGCCUGGCGCGAUUGGAUGAGCCCAUGUUCGAUUAGCUAGUUGGCGGGGUAAAGGCCCACCAAGGCGACGAUCGAUAGCUGGUCUGAGAGGAUGAUCAGCCACACUGGGACUGAGACACGGUCCAGACUCCUACGGGAGGCAGCAGUAGGGAAUAUUGGACAAUGGGCGCAAGCCUGAUCCAGCCAUGCCGCGUGAGUGAAGAAGGCCCUCGGGUUGUAAAGCUCUUUUGUCCGGAAAGAAAAGCAUUCGGUUAAUACCCGGGUGUUCUGACGGUACCGGAAGAAUAAGCACCGGCUAACUUCGUG
RNAcentral lists this ribosomal RNA (490 nucleotides) under uncultured bacterium. Its description in RNAcentral is "partial 16S ribosomal RNA". It matches the Rfam family "Bacterial small subunit ribosomal RNA", at positions 29 to 507 of the family's 1533-position model. The record is from RNAcentral.